RNAcentral lists this non-coding RNA (21 nucleotides) under Arabidopsis thaliana (thale cress). The record is from RNAcentral. Lineage: Eukaryota; Viridiplantae; Streptophyta; Magnoliopsida; Brassicales; Brassicaceae.
GAAAUCAAAGUUUUUGGGUUC